This 632-nucleotide long non-coding RNA is filed under the name Capsicum annuum. Its description in RNAcentral is "long non-coding RNA (CANN_LNC021729)". Lineage: Eukaryota; Viridiplantae; Streptophyta; Magnoliopsida; Solanales; Solanaceae. The record is from RNAcentral.
AUGUACAGAGGUUUCCCUCAAACACUAGCCAAUUUACUAAAUGAUUCCAUCGACCAAUAACCUAGAGGUAAGCUCGGAAACUUAACCCACAAGGGUACCUUGUUCAGGAACUCAGGGUUAAACUUGAAUUCGAAUGUCCAAUCCUUUAGGAUAAGUGGUCUAUUCCUAUAUAUGUAAGGACCUGAUUGUAUCACUAGGUCCCUAUCGGCCAUCGUAGCAAAUUUAAAGAUGUAAUAGCCAUCGUCGUGAUAUAGUACCUUUGGUUUCAUCAUGAAAUUCCACAUAUAAACUAUGUAAUUCUCCAUAGAUUUGAAGAAUGGUGAAUCCCCCAGCACAUAUCUAAUCAAUGCAGAGCUCCAGUGAUUUGCCUGAACAAAUAUAUCCUCCUUCUAAAGCUGCACAAUUAUUUUCUCUCCCUUCACCAUCGGUGGUAUAUCAGUGCCUUCCCCAUUUGUGAGCUUCGAUUUGGGGGUUUCACCUAGUCCUUCUCCACUUCUAUCUUUACCUCAGCUUGGGCUGGGGGAGCUUGAGACGAGGACCCACAUCAGAAAAUUGCAACCUCCAGGGAAAUUGUGAGUCCUUUAGUUUUCUAGUAAUCCUCUUCCCUACUGGAUCAUGUUUUUCCAUUCUUA